Long non-coding RNA from Perca flavescens (yellow perch), 640 nucleotides. RefSeq lists it as uncharacterized. Lineage: Eukaryota; Metazoa; Chordata; Actinopteri; Perciformes; Percidae. The transcript is spliced from 2 exons. The record is from RefSeq and is a predicted model, not a curated record.
GUCAGUUCCUUGACCAUCAGAAAGCACCACCUCAGGAGUUUUUGGAUUGCAGAAAUGAAAACUAGAGCUACGUUCCUGCUGCCAAAGUUCAGAAAACAUCCACACCGCCUGGUUCCAAUGUGUCUGAACACAGAAUUUCCUUGGUUCACAGUUCAGGCGUUCAGCACUAAUUUUUAUCCUCCAGUCCAGGAAGCACUGAGAGUCAUCUGAAUCAAGAGGACAGAACCUGUUACUCCCCAUUAAUGAUGCUGUGUAUGUGUAAGCACUAAUUAGCCUCCAUUACCUUGGAUAAGAGCUGCAGAGAGAGGAGAGCAUCAAAAUUUAAUGAGCCUGUUGUAGCCGCUCUGAAUCUUUGCUGUGUUUUAAGUGCUGUAUCGAACUCCUGAACGCUCUCUUGCACAAACACUACUGGUGCAUUCAGAUAAAUAGGCAAGUUAGUUGAUUCGAGUGAUAUUAGGUCAAGGGAAAAAAUUAUGUCCGCUUAAUAAGGGCUGCCUGUUUCUAGCUGAGAGCCACUUGUAUGAUAAAUUUACUUAUAGAAACACUUGAGUUUGGGGACAACGUACAUGCUCUCUGGAUGUCAUUUUAAUAAAGUGUUUUGGGAAUCUCAGAAAAAAAAAAAAAAACUAGAUGUUUGUGG